Molecule: ribosomal RNA, 460 nt
Filed under: uncultured soil bacterium
Lineage: Bacteria
Description: bacterial SSU rRNA
Rfam family: Bacterial small subunit ribosomal RNA
Source: RNAcentral
AGAUUGAACGCUGGCGGCAUGCUUAACACAUGCAAGCCGAACGGCAGCACAGCCAAGCUUGCUUGGUGGGUGGCGAGUGGCGGACGGGUGAGGAAUACGUCGGAAUCUGCCCUGUUGUGGGGGAUAACGUAGGGAAACUCACGCUAAUACCGCAUAAGACGGUGACGUGAAAGCGGGGGAUCGAAAGACCUCGCGCGAUGGGAUGAGCCGACGUCGGAUUAGCUUGUUGGUGGGGUAAAGGCCUACCAAGGCGACGAUCCGUAGCUGGUCUGAGAGGAUGAUCAGCCACACUGGGACUGAGACACGGCCCAGACCUCCGUACGGGAGGCAGCAGGUGGGGAAUAGUUGGACAAGUGGGCGCAAGCCUGAUCCAGCAAUGCCGCGUGUGUGAAGAAGGCCUUGGUUAGUAAGCUACUUUUUAAUCGAAGGUAACGAAAAGGUGUACGGACGAACGUACCCG